This 923-nucleotide ribosomal RNA is filed under the name uncultured bacterium. RNAcentral's name for it is "bacterial SSU rRNA". It matches the Rfam family "Bacterial small subunit ribosomal RNA", at positions 8 to 828 of the family's 1533-position model. The record is from RNAcentral.
AGAGUUUGAUCAUGGCUCAGGACGAACGCUGGCGGCGUGCCUAACACAUGCAAGUCGAACGGAACCUAGAUGUUAGACUGUAGAUGUUAGAAAUUAGAACAAGGACAUGGUUGGAACUUUAAGAUUGAGCCUAAGGCUUGAGGGACCAUUGUCUUAGAUUUAAAAUCUAAAAUCUAAUGUCUAGAGUCUAACAUCUAGGCUUAGUGGCGGACGGGCGAGUAACGCGUGAGCAACCUGCCCUUAAGAGGGGGACAACGACUGGAAACGGUCGCUAAUACCGCAUGACAUAUCGGGAUGGCAUCAUCUUGAUAUCAAAGGAGAAAUCCGCUUAAGGAUGGGCUCGCGUCCGAUUAGCUAGUUGGUGGGGUAACGGCCCACCAAGGCGACGAUCGGUAGCCGAACUGAGAGGUUGAUCGGCCGCAUUGGGACUGAGACACGGCCCAGACUCCUACGGGAGGCAGCAGUGGGGGAUAUUGCACAAUGGAGGAAACUCUGAUGCAGCAACGCCGCGUGAGGGAAGAAGGUCUUCGGAUUGUAAACCUUAGUAGUCAGGGACGAAAAAAAUGACGGUACCUGAAGAGUAAGCUCCGGCUAACUACGUGCCAGCAGCCGCGGUAAUACGUAGGGAGCGAGCGUUGUCCGGAUUUACUGGGUGUAAAGGGUGCGUAGGCGGGACUGCAAGUCAGGCGUGAAAUACCGGGGCUUAACUCCGGGGCUGCGCUUGAAACUGCGGUUCUUGAGUGAAGUAGAGGCAGGCGGAAUUCCUAGUGUAGCGGUGAAAUGCGUAGAUAUUAGGAGGAACACCAGUGGCGAAGGCGGCCUGCUGGGCUUUAACUGACGCUGAGGCACGAAAGCAUGGGGAGCAAACAGGAUUAGAUACCCUGGUAGUCCAUGCCGUAAACGAUGAUUGCUAGGUGUGGGGG